CCACACCUAAAAAACUUUCCACGUGACCGUUUCAACCCAAUAGUUGGGGGUCUUAUUUGGCGGCGGCUGCUGGCUUAAUUGUUGGCGGCUGCUGCUGAGUGAGCCCUAUCAAAAAAAAGGCGAACGUUUGGGCUUCGGCCUGAUUUAGUAGUCUUUUUUUCUUUUAAACCCAUUCCUUAAUACUGAAUAUACUGUGGGGACGAAAGUCUCUGCUUUUAACUAGAUAGCAACUUUCAGCAGUGGAUGUCUAGGCUCGCACAUCGAUGAAGAACGCUGCGAACUGCGAUACGUAAUGCGAAUUGCAGGAUUCAGUGAGUCAUCGAAAUUUUGAACGCAUAUUGCACUUCCGGGUUAGUCCUGGAAGUAUGCCUGUAUCAGUGUCCGUACAUUAAACUUGACUUUCUUCCUUCCGUGUAGUCGGUGGAGGAGAUGUCAGAUGUGAAGUGUCUUGCGAUUGGUCUUCGGACCGGCUGCGAGUCCUUUUAAAUGUACUAAACUGAACUUCUCUUUGCUCGAAAAGUGGUGGCGUUGCUGGUUGUGAAGGCUGCUAUUGUGGCAAAUUGGCGACUGGUUUGUCUGCUGCGGCGUUAAUGGAAGAGUGUUCGAUUCGUGGUAUGGUUGGCUUCGGCUGAACAAUGCACUUAUUGGACGUUUUUCCUGCUGUGGCGUGAUGGACUGGUGAACCAUAGCUCGGUGGCUUGGCUUUUGAAUUGGCUUUGCUGUUGCGAAGUAGGGUGGCAGCUUCGGUUGUCGAGGGUCGAUCCAUUUGGGAACUUAAUGUGUACUUCGGUAUGCAUCUCAA
The sequence is a ribosomal RNA, 802 nucleotides long. The stretch from base 229 to 383 matches the Rfam family "5.8S ribosomal RNA".